CCCUCCUCCUCCUCCUCCCUCACCAGGAAAGCGACGGUGCCUCUGGGUCCUAGCUGCUCCCACUGCAGCGGCAGACCACGGAGAGCUGCCCCAGACACCUGCUGCCCUUUUCUCUCCGUGAACCUGGAGAGGAGGUUCCCCGUUGCAGUGAGCAUGAAAAACCCAGACCUGAAAGGGAGGGCGUGUUUUCACAGCACCUUCUCCUCGUCAGCCUCUUUCCAACGCUCCUGAAAACCGGCUCUGAAAAGAUCUGCUCUGUUCAGACAACGACUAACCGGGCUCCUCACCCAGAGCCCGAGGGUGAGGGAGAGGAAAACCGUGUCAUUAAGUUUGAGGGACAGGCCUUGGAGAGGCACAGAGACACAGGACCUCAGUGCGGGAUCACGAAGUCCAGACUUUCUGGUUUACAAGGGAAGCUGUUAUGGCCCAGAGAGGCUCACCGACCCCGCAUCAGUAUGUAUGAACGCGGAAUGUACACUUGAAUGUGAAAGGUACAUAUGGUGGCUUCCAGUGGAUUCACUGAUAACUCAGUCCAGAGAAAGAAUGAGGCGCAGGACGGGCCCCUGAGGCUGCUCACCAGGAUGGAGUAAGGGAGAGGCUGGUCUGAGAUGAUACAGACUCCCCAGGUCCUGAGAAUUACCUUCAGAAGGAAGGAAGGACCGAAUGAAGGAAAGAACGAUGUGGAAACAAAGGGAAAAAGAGAAUAACAAGGAACAGAACCGCUGCCCCAGACUGAGUCUGCUCUGCUGGACCUAGGUCAGAAGCUGCCUUGGGGCCGGCCCCGUGGCCGAGUGGUUAAGUUCGCGCUCCGCUUCGGCGGCCCAGGGUUUCGCCGGUUCGGAUCCUGGGCGAGGACAUGGCACCACUGGUCAGGCCAUGCUGAGGCGGCAUCCCACAUGCCACAACUAGAAGAAAGGACCCACAACUAGAAUACACAACUAUGUUCUGGGGGACUUUGGGAGAAGAAGGGAAAAAAAAGCUGCCCUGACACAGACUCCAGGCUUUCACCCACUGUUCAGAGAGCACACGCUGAACAUCCACAUCGGAGAACCCUCCCAUCUCUGUAGCUGGAGCCUCCGUUUCCUGAUUUGUCAAAGAAGAGGGUUGGCAUUAGCGAUUUCUAAAGAACUUCCAGCAAGGAAAUACUUGCAUCUUCUGGUUCAUGUCCCUGUGGUGUGAUUUCUAGUGGCUUUUCCCUUAGGAAUACCUGGCAUUUUCUGGUUCCGCCAGGAGUAGAGGACCCAGCUGGGUGCUCAGCUCUCACCACAAGAAGUGUCACACUGGAAGAGAAUUAUGUUAAUUGCAUUUGGGGGGUGCUGUGCCUUUGGAACAGGUGGCCAGAGAGUCAAAAUCUAAUUUGCAUACUGAGAGGAGUUGAAAAAUGAUGCCUUCUAAUGAACAAAAUGUCUGCAAUGGGUCUGGCUUGAUUAGCAUAAAAGUGUUUAUCACGUUGACAUACAGUCAGAAGGCUGGGUAAAUUUGCCUCUAAAAAUCACCGAAGCAGAGGUCUCUCCACUUUUGAUUUCUAUACAGCCUGUAAGUAUCAUGACAGGCCUGAAAGCAGGACCACAAUCUGAUUAAAGACGAGUGUCUGACGCUAUCCUGCUGAUUGGUUUGUGUUCAUUUGAUGGGUGACAGCCCUGAAGAGUGAGAAGGGAAACCCCCGACGUCUGCGCAGUGGCAGCUCAUAAGGGUUUUGGAUGGAAGAUCCUGGUUUGGGGAGGGCUAAGCUUCUCCCCUCCCUCUCUGUUGAAAUGCGGAGGCUGAACAGCUCUAGGCUGGCCAAACUUCUAUCUGUUUCACUGACCUGUUUAGAAACUCAAAGUUUCUUUUCAUAAUGCCACCCAGCUGCUUGAGUUGACUUCCGCCCAUCACCAGAAUUGACAGACUGUUUCAGCCUCAGGUCUCUUUCGCCCUUACAAGGUUUUCCCCAUCCUCUGUUAAGGUAGAAGGUCGUGAUCAGAUGUGCAUGUGUGUGUGUGUGUGUGUGUGUGUGUAAGAUUACUCUGAAUCUGUACAUGAGUGUUCAUAGCAGCUCUAUUCACACUAGCCCAAAGUACAAACCAACCAAAUGUCCAUCAACAGAUGAAUGGAUAAACAAAUUAUGGCACAUACACACAAUGGAAUUUUACUCAGCCGUAAACAGGAAUGAGGUACUGAUCCACGCUACAGUGUGGAUGAAUCUUGAAAACAUUAUGCUAAGUGAAAGAAGUAGACACAAAAAGUAGACACCAAAAUAUUUCAUGAUUCCACUUACAUGAAAUGUCCUGAAUAGGUAAGUCCACAGAGACAGAAAGCAGCUUGGUGGUCACUGGGAGCUGGGGAGGGAAGGCGGAUGGGGAAUGACUGCUUGAUGGGCGUGGAGUUUCCUUUUGGGAUGAUGAAAAGGUUUUGGAACUUGAUGUAGGCGGUGCAUACACAAUAUUGUGAAUAAACUAAAUG
This is a long non-coding RNA of Equus caballus (horse), 2442 nucleotides long. Lineage: Eukaryota; Metazoa; Chordata; Mammalia; Perissodactyla; Equidae. The record is from Ensembl.